Molecule: long non-coding RNA, 506 nt
Organism: Brassica napus (rape)
Lineage: Eukaryota; Viridiplantae; Streptophyta; Magnoliopsida; Brassicales; Brassicaceae
Exons: 2
Source: RefSeq, a predicted model, not a curated record
CUUUUAAAACACAAUUACUUCAUUAUCUAAGAUGAAAAUUUCUUUUCGAACUUCGCUUAUUGGCUUCAUUAUGCUCACAAUCUUUCUACUAGGAGUAUUGGUGUCUGCUCAGAAAGGAGGACCAACCACACAAAAAACUUGUGUUGAUGCAUACCCAAACAAUACUGGAAAAUGUGAUGCAAAGCAAUGUGCAGCCGAAUGUACCAAAAAGAGAAAAGGGGUUAGUAGGUGCCAAGAUAUAGGCAAAGGAGAUUUCCAAUGCAGAUGCCAUUAUAAUUGCCGUCCCUAAUAUUUUUAUCGACACUGAAGCUCAAAUUUAUUCUAUUAAAAUAAAAAUCACAAUUUAUUUUCAUGUGAUAUUUAAAAAAUGGACAUUUCCUAGAAAAUCAUGCUUCAUUUAUUUCUAAAUAAUAUUUUGACAUCAUAAAUAAAUCACUUCAUAUGUUAUUUAUCUACUAUAAUAACUACAUUGUUGGUUUGUUUUACCAAAAUAUUUUGUCAUUAUU